UCAGCGCCAACCUUUUCCGACGCUUUGGGUUAGCGUUGGAAAAGCGAAACAAACAACGACGCUCUGAAGCGCCGUUAGAAGUUUAAGAAACAACGACGCUUAUAAGCGUCGUUAGAAAACUUAAAACCCCAACCCCUCGCUCGAUCGGCCGCCUCUCCUCAUUUCCUAUCUGCGAGCCCUAGCUGCGAGCGCGCCGACUUCCCCGCUGCCGUCGACCUCUCCUUCUGAGCCCCGAUCGGUGAUCGAAGACUCCGCUACUCCGCCACCGUCGACCUUGCCGUCGUCUGAGGUAAGCCUCCUACUCCUCCUUCUCUUCCUUCUCCUCCUCCUCCUCCUCCUCCUCCUCCUCCUCUUUGUUUUCUUCUUGUCUUUAACUCUCGCCCGGCCCCGUCUCCUCAUCCUCUGCCGGUCGAUGCCCUAGCUGCGCGCCGACAUCUCACCUCCAUCCCGAGCGAGCCGUAGCUACUCCGCCGCCGUCGACAUCGCCGUCGUCUGAGAUUACAAUAUGCCGCGAGGAAAACGUUUCAGAAAUAUUGAGUUUCAGCACACAUUCGUGGGAUCUACUUCUGAUCGUUCCCAGCAGCCCGAUGAGCCCCAUACUCAGUCCGGGUCCCAGUCUGAGCACGCCCCACCUGCAGAUCGUCCAGACACGGAU
Phoenix dactylifera (date palm) is the source of this 655-nucleotide non-coding RNA. The record is from RefSeq and is a predicted model, not a curated record. NCBI's taxonomy places the organism in Eukaryota, Viridiplantae, Streptophyta, Magnoliopsida, Arecales, Arecaceae.